UGCCAGCCGCCGCGGUAAUACAGAGAGUGCAAACGUUGUUCGGAAUUAUUGGGCGUAAAGCGCGUGUAGGCGGUUCGUUAAGUCUGAUGUGAAAGCCCGGGGCUCAACCCCGGAAGUGCAUUGGAAACUGGCGAACUUGAGUACGGGAGAGGAAAGUGGAAUUCCGAGUGUAGGGGUGAAAUCCGUAGAUAUUCGGAGGAACACCAGUGGCGAAGGCGGCUUUCUGGACCGAUACUGACGCUGAAGCACGAAGGCUAGGGGAGCAAACAGGAUUAGAUA
Molecule: ribosomal RNA, 279 nt
Filed under: uncultured bacterium
Lineage: Bacteria
Description: partial 16S ribosomal RNA
Rfam family: Bacterial small subunit ribosomal RNA
Source: RNAcentral